GCUUAACACAUGCAAGUCGAGGGGCAGCAUGGUCUUAGCUUGCUAAGGCCGAUGGCGACCGGCGCACGAGUGAGUAACACGUAUCCAACCUGCCGUCUACUCUUGGACAGCCUUCUGAAAGGAAGAUUAAUACAAGAUGGCAUCAUGAGUCCGCAUGUUCACAUGAUUAAAGGUAUUCCGGUAGACGAUGGGGAUGCGUUCCAUUAGAUAGUAGGCGGGGUAACGGCCCACCUAGUCUUCGAUGGAUAGGGGUUCUGAGAGGAAGGUCCCCCACAUUGGAACUGAGACACGGUCCAAACUCCUACGGGAGGCAGCAGUGAGGAAUAUUGGUCAAUGGGCGAGAGCCUGAACCAGCCAAGUAGCGUGAAGGAUGACUGCCCUAUGGGUUGUAAACUUCUUUUAUAAAGGAAUAAAGUCGGGUAUGGAUACCCGUUUGCAUGUACUUUAUGAAUAAGGAUCGGCUAACUCCGUGCCAGCAGCCGCGGUAAUACGGAGGAUCCGAGCGUUAUCCGGAUUUAUUGGGUUUAAAGGGAGCGUAGAUGGAUGUUUAAGUCAGUUGUGAAAGUUUGCGGCUCAACCGUAAAAUUGCAGUUGAUACUGGAUAUCUUGAGUGCAGUUGAGGCAGGCGGAAUUCGUGGUGUAGCGGUGAAAUGCUUAGAUAUCACGAAGAACUCCGAUUGCGAAGGCAGCCUGCUAAGCUGCAACUGACAUUGAGGCUCGAAAGUGUGGGUAUCAAACAGGAUUAGAUACCCUGGUAGUCCACACGGUAAACGAUGAAUACUCGCUGUUUGCGAUAUACUGCAAGCGGCCAAGCGAAAGCGUUAAGUAUUCCACCUGGGGAGUACGCCGGCAACGGUGAAACUCAAAGGAAUUGACGGGGGCCCGCACAAGCGGAGGAACAUGUGGUUUAAUUCGAUGAUACGCGAGGAACCUUACCCGGGCUUAAAUUGCAGAUGAAUUACGGUGAAAGCCGUAAGCCGCAAGGCAUCUGUGAAGGUGCUGCAUGGUUGUCGUCAGCUCGUGCCGUGAGGUGUUGGCUUAAGUGCCAUAACGAGCGCAACCCUUGUUGUCAGUUACUAACAGGUUCCGCUGAGGACUCUGACAAGACUGCCAUCGUAAGAUGUGAGGAAGGUGGGGAUGACGUCAAAUCAGCACGGCCCUUACGUCCGGGGCUACACACGUGUUACAAUGGGGGGUACAGAGGGCCGCUACCACGCGAGUGGAUGCCAAUCCCCAAAACCUCUCUCAGUUCGGACUGGAGUCUGCAACCCGACUCCACGAAGCUGGAUUCGCUAGUAAUCGCGCAUCAGCCACGGCGCGGUGAAUACGUUCCCGGGCCUUGUACACACCGCCCGUCAAGCCAUGGGAGCCGGGGGUACCUGAAGUGCGUAACCGCGAGGAGCGCCCUAGGGUAAAACUGGUGACUGGGGC
RNAcentral lists this ribosomal RNA (1431 nucleotides) under uncultured bacterium. Its description in RNAcentral is "16S ribosomal RNA". It matches the Rfam family "Bacterial small subunit ribosomal RNA". The record is from RNAcentral.